UCUCCGUUGGUGAACCAGCGGAGGGAUCAUUACCGAGUUUUUCUACUCCCAAACCCCUGUGAACUUAUACCUUUACUGUUGUUUCGGCGGGUUAACGCCCCGGAAGGCCCAAAAAGCCGCCGGAACCAGGCGCCCGCCGGGGGAUCCAAACUCUUGUAUUUCUUACUUUGCAUGUCUGAGUGGAAUCAUAAACAAAUGAAUCAAAACUUUCAACAACGGAUCUCUUGGUUCUG
This 233-nucleotide unclassified non-coding RNA is filed under the name plant metagenome. RNAcentral describes it as "partial contains small subunit ribosomal RNA, internal transcribed spacer 1, and 5.8S ribosomal RNA". The record is from RNAcentral.